AUUGAACGCUGGCGGCAUGCCUUACACAUGCAAGUCGAACGGUAACAGGUUAAGCUGACGAGUGGCGAACGGGUGAGUAAUAUAUCGGAACGUGCCCAGUCGUGGGGGAUAACGUAGCGAAAGCUACGCUAAUACCGCAUACGAUCUACGGAUGAAAGCGGGGGAUCGCAAGACCUCGCGCGAUUGGAGCGGCCGAUAUCAGAUUAGGUUGUUGGUGAGGUAAAAGCUCACCAAGCCUGCGAUCUGUAGCUGGUCUGAGAGGACGACCAGCCACACUGGAACUGAGACACGGCCCAGACUCCUACGGGAGGCAGCAGUGGGGAAUUUUGGACAAUGGGCGCAAGCCUGAUCCAGCCAUUCCGCGUGCAGGACGAAGGCCUUCGGGUUGUAAACUGCUUUUAUACGGAACGAAAAGGCUCUGGUUAAUACCUGGGGCUCAUGACGGUACCGUAAGAAUAAGCACCGGCUAACUACGUGCCAGCCGCCGCCGUAA
This 493-nucleotide ribosomal RNA is filed under the name uncultured bacterium. RNAcentral describes it as "partial 16S ribosomal RNA". It matches the Rfam family "Bacterial small subunit ribosomal RNA", at positions 30 to 523 of the family's 1533-position model. The record is from RNAcentral.